AGCGAACGCUGGCGGCAUGCUUAACACAUGCAAGUCGCACGGGCAGGGGUAACUCUGUCAGUGGCGGACGGGUGAGUAACGCGUAGGUAUCUAUCCUUGGGUGGGGGACAACCGUGGGAAACUACGGCUAAUACCGCAUGAUGACUGAGGUCCAAAGGCGCAAGUCGCCUGGGGAGGAGCCUGCGUUCGAUUAGCUAGUUGGUGGGGUAAAGGCCUACCAAGGCUGUGAUCGAUAGCUGGUCUGAGAGGAUGAUCAGCCACACUGGGACUGAGACAC
This 277-nucleotide ribosomal RNA is filed under the name uncultured bacterium. RNAcentral describes it as "partial 16S ribosomal RNA". It matches the Rfam family "Bacterial small subunit ribosomal RNA", at positions 29 to 327 of the family's 1533-position model. The record is from RNAcentral.